ACGGGAGGCAGCAGUGGGGAAUAUUGCACAAUGGGGGAAACCCUGAUGCAGCGACGCCGCGUGAGUGAAGAAGUAUUUCGGUAUGUAAAGCUCUAUCAGCAGGGAAGAAAAUGACGGUACCUGACUAAGAAGCCCCGGCUAACUACGUGCCAGCAGCCGCGGUAAUACGUAGGGGGCAAGCGUUAUCCGGAUUUACUGGGUGUAAAGGGCGUGUAGGCGGAGAUGCAAGUCAGAAGUGAAAUCUAGGGGCUCAACCCCUAAACUGCUUUUGAAACUGUAUCCCUUGAGUAUCGGAGAGGCAGGCGGAAUUCCCAGUGUAGCGGUGAAAUGCGUAGAUAUUGGGAGGAACACCAGUGGCGAAGGCGGCCUGCUGGACGACAACUGACGCUGAGGCGCGAAAGCGUGGGGAGCAAACAGGAUUAGAUACCCUGGUA
Molecule: ribosomal RNA, 434 nt
Rfam family: Bacterial small subunit ribosomal RNA